This is a long non-coding RNA of Alosa sapidissima (American shad), 381 nucleotides long. RefSeq lists it as uncharacterized. Lineage: Eukaryota; Metazoa; Chordata; Actinopteri; Clupeiformes; Clupeidae. The transcript has 6 exons. The record is from RefSeq and is a predicted model, not a curated record.
UCCAGCUGUAUGCUUACCAGUUUGCCAGUCAUCAACUGUGUACUUUGAAUAUAAUAUCACACCUGCAAGAUUCCUGCUAUACCACAGACAGGAAAAACCAUGCAACACCAGCAGAGGGCGAUCCAACAUGUUGUUGGAUGAAUAGUCACUUUCAUGGGAAAAACCAUGCAACACCAGCAGAGAGCGAACUGUUGUUGGAUGAAUAGUCACUUUCAUGGGCCACCCAGAACCCUCCUCUGAUGGCAAAAACAGAACAUCAUAAGGCCACUGCUUACACCAUGGGAGAGCAUCAAUGACUUCAAGGGCAGUUUGGCAGAGAGGCUGUUUGUACUGGACACACAUCAUUCUAACUACAGAGGAACAAACACAACUUCCUAAUCA